UAGUGUUGUCAAAUCACUCAACAGGGAGAGAGAGUUGCGUAGUUCCCUGUGCAGUCUAUGAGAGUUUUAAGCUUUUUCAACAACGUAAUUCAAAGCAGAUUUCAAACACAUUGUUCGUUUGACAGAUGUUUUGAUGACUGUAUGGAUCAUGUGGAAGUUUUGCGAUUCAGAGCCGGUCUUUUCGUCACGUAUUUUUAAAAUUUAACGGUUCAGCUUGAACUCCUCGCCAAAGAACAUAAAUUAAUUGUUGUCAUGUCGGGGGCUUUUUCUGUCAGUGUUAACCAACUUGGCAGUGUGUCACCCAAAACCACUGGAUAACUCCCCAGAUGUUCAGGCCUGCAAAAUCCAAGGUGACAGUCCUGAGAAGACGCUCAGGUAAACAGCAACAUUUCAGAACUCGUCCGGAUCUACACCAAGCACACAUUUUCUAACCAAUGGGUGACAGGUUGGCAGUUGGUUCUUCACGGUCUGCUGUUUGAGGGUUUCUGGUUUGCACUUUGUGGUGAUUUGGUGAGUGUGAUUACAUGCACAGUAACAGGACAGAUCUCAGCCUCAGGUAUUCUAGUAAAGGUAUUUAACAUUAAUAUGCCAGCCUGCCUAUGAUCCCCCAGUGGCUAGAAAUGGUGAUAGAUGUAAACCGAGCCCUGGGUACCCCCCCUCUCUCUGCUUUGCCCGCACAGAGGACUUGGCCCAUUCAUGAGAGAGACUUCGUGGCUUUCAAACGAGCCAAGUGGCAGUUGGGGAAGGCCACAUCCCCCCCCCCCCUCCACCUUGCAUCAUUUGAACAAACUGAUUGUGUCUUUGGCAUUGCUUUAAUAGAAUAGAGAAUUGCAUUUUUCCACAUAUUUUGCCCAAGACACAGUAGUCAUUUUGUCUUUUUACAAACUCAUGUUAACAUCUGGAGAGCUCCAGAUUCUCCCCAAGAGGCCGCUGUUAAGUUAUAAUCAGUCCAGUUACCUACUGGCUAGUCUCGCUUUGCCAGACCCUCCUCCUAAAGCGUGCUGGAGAGUCUGGCUUCUCCACACAGCAUUCUGGGAUGGAAGGAAAACGUGAUCUGGUUUAUUGGCUUUUCUUUAAACCAAUCACAAUGGUGAGUGCUCAGCAUCAGAGAAAAGCCGCGGUGCUGCUGCAAUUCAGACUCGGAGGGAACUUGGUUUGGUGGAACAUGUGUACAUUUAGAAGUUGUUUUAGUUGUGCAACAGAAAAAAGAUUGGACAGAUAGUCUAGCUAGCUGUCUGGAUUUACCCUGCAGAGAUCUGAGGACCAGGUAACCAGAAAUCUACUGGAGUUAAAAACACCAACACAAAGGAAGCCCAAGGCAACGGAUAUCCGGCCUGAAUGAGUGGAACCCAUCAGAUUUUCCGGCGGUAAUGGAGCAAUCCCAGAAGUGGAACGUCAAGGUUAUAGACUAAAUACUGGCUAGACUUAACACCUACAGGCAACUUCCUGUACCAGUUUAGAACCGCGAGCUGUAGCUGCCGCACUUCAACACUUGUUUCACCUGCAGUCAAUGACCGUCACACCCCCAACAAGUUAUAAAGGUCAUUGCCCGCAAGUGGCACAAGUGUUAAAAUUGCAGCUAUUUCCUUCCUGGCCUGUAGGUGGCGACAUCAACUUAUCUACAUCUGCAGCUGUAAAGCUUUUCAUACCUGUUUGUGGGCAGCGUUGACCUGGCUUUACUCCACGUGUCUUCUUCAUUGUUGCUGUCAACAGCCUCUGAAUUCAUGAACACAGUUAAACAUGCAUUUCAAGUCAUACUCACAUUUCAAGCUCUGCAAUCUAUGGCUAGCUUCCAUAAGAAAACGCUGUAAGAUAAUAUUCUGUGCAUGUAAACACACCCACUGUUGUAGCCUCCAGAUACAAAACACAAGCACUUGUUAAAUCGCUAUACUCUCGUUAAAACAUUCGGUACACAGUGAAAUAAAGUUGAAUUAAAACACCUGCCUGUUACUGUUCCAACCCGCUGUCCUGUUAGCCUAACAAGUAACUCAUCCAUUGUUUCUUCUCUUAUUUCACAGUAUUUAUUUACUCUCCAGUGUGUAAAGAUGCCUUUACUGACACACUCAGUGAGUCAGUGUAACUGACUGGUUACCUGUAUGAAUGACUCGGUACGUUACACACUACAACCACAUUUAAACACAAAAGGAUUACAUUUGUUUAGCUUAACAGACGACCUGCUUAUUCCAACGCUCUCUGUAAGAAAAUGAAAAAUGUGCUUCACACACACACACACACACACACACACAGUUAAAGCGGCCAGGUUUGUUUAUGUAAAUAUGUGGUUGUGUACAUUCAGACCAGAUGUACAGUGUAUGGAAACUUUUAAAAUAGUUAGCACAUUUCCGGCUGUGUGAGCCAAUAACGGGACUCACACUCACCAACUGACGGCUGAGAUUGGGAAAUGUGGCCGCGUUGGUGUCGCAGAUGUCCAACAGGGCA
Long non-coding RNA from Etheostoma cragini (Arkansas darter), 2439 nucleotides. RefSeq lists it as uncharacterized. NCBI's taxonomy places the organism in Eukaryota, Metazoa, Chordata, Actinopteri, Perciformes, Percidae. The record is from RefSeq and is a predicted model, not a curated record. The transcript is spliced from 2 exons.